AUCCCACUCCUUCAUCAUUCGUCAUCCCCCUCCUUCCCCAAGCGCCGGCGGCGAAUAAUUCCCACCACAUCCCAAAACUCCCCAGAAAAAUUCAUAUAUAUCUCUCCCCCUCCAAGAGCCUUCCUCCUCCGUUGGCCAACUCCGCCGACCAACUCCGCGAGGCAACGCUGCAAGUGGUGAUCUCUAUAGGUCUAGCUGAUUCUGUUGGUUUGCCAUGUCGAAUAGCCCAAGGAUGCAAGUACUACACAUUGCCGAUCUUCAGGAGACGCUGCCACCAAUCUUUAGGAAACCUUCGCCGAUUCUUAAGCGAAGAACGGACACCCUCAUCAUCCCAAAUCACCGAUCUUCAGGAAACCAUGUGAUCUGUCAUGAAUGGUGGGAUCUCGUUAGGAUUCCCGAGUUCUUGGUGUUCAGGGCAAUGGUGGUGUUUGUUUUCUCAACGUUGUAUGUUAUUUGGUGUUUGGUUUUUCUUAUGCGACUAUGUUGGUUAAGACUCAAGGUUUAAUUAGACCUGAUUUGGAAUUUA
Long non-coding RNA from Asparagus officinalis (garden asparagus), 526 nucleotides. RefSeq lists it as uncharacterized. The record is from RefSeq and is a predicted model, not a curated record. NCBI's taxonomy places the organism in Eukaryota, Viridiplantae, Streptophyta, Magnoliopsida, Asparagales, Asparagaceae. The transcript has 2 exons.